Molecule: transfer RNA, 71 nt
Filed under: Alosa alosa (allis shad)
Lineage: Eukaryota; Metazoa; Chordata; Actinopteri; Clupeiformes; Clupeidae
Description: tRNA-OTHER
Source: RNAcentral
UCACCUCUGGUCUUGUGGUAAAGCGUCUGCCUGCUACGUGGGAGACCCGGGUUCAAUCCCCGGGCCGUUCC